This 709-nucleotide ribosomal RNA is filed under the name uncultured Ralstonia sp. Its description in RNAcentral is "bacterial SSU rRNA". It matches the Rfam family "Bacterial small subunit ribosomal RNA", at positions 53 to 756 of the family's 1533-position model. Lineage: Bacteria; Pseudomonadati; Pseudomonadota; Betaproteobacteria; Burkholderiales; Burkholderiaceae. The record is from RNAcentral.
ACAUGCAAGUCGAACGGCAGCACGGGAGCAAUCCUGGUGGCGAGUGGCGAACGGGUGAGUAAUACAUCGGAACGUGCCCUGUCGUGGGGGAUAACUAGUCGAAAGAUUAGCUAAUACCGCAUACGACCUGAGGGUGAAAGCGGGGGACCGUAAGGCCUCGCGCGAUAGGAGCGGCCGAUGUCUGAUUAGCUAGUUGGUGGGGUAAAGGCCCACCAAGGCGACGAUCGUAGCUGGUCUGAGAGGACGAUCAGCCACACUGGGACUGAGACACGGCCUAGACUCCUACGGGAGGCAGCAGUGGGGAAUUUUGGACAAUGGGGGCAACCCUGAUCCAGCAAUGCCGCGUGUGUGAAGAAGGCCUUCGGGUUGUAAAGCACUUUUGUCCGGAAAGAAAUCCCUUGCUCUAAUACGGCGGGGGGAUGACGGUACCGGAAGAAUAAGCACCGGCUAACUACGUGCCAGCAGCCGCGGUAAUACGUAGGUGCGAGCGUUAAUCGGAAUUACUGGGCGUAAAGCGUGCGCAGGCGGUUUUGUAAGACAGGCGUGAAAUCCCGAGCUCAACUUGGGAAUUGGCGCUUGUGACUGCAAGGCUAGAGUAUGUCAGAGGGGGGUAAAAUUCCACGUGUAGCAGUGAAAUGCGUANAGAUGUGGAGGAAUACCGAUGGCGAAGGCAGCCCCCUGGGACGUUCACUGGACGCUCAUUGCACCA